This 254-nucleotide ribosomal RNA is filed under the name uncultured bacterium. RNAcentral describes it as "partial 16S ribosomal RNA". It matches the Rfam family "Bacterial small subunit ribosomal RNA", at positions 524 to 776 of the family's 1533-position model. The record is from RNAcentral.
UACGGGGGGAGCAAGCGUUGUUCGGAUUUACUGGGCGUAAAGGGCGCGUAGGCGGCCACCGCAAGUCGACUGUGAAAUCUCCGGGCUUAACCCGGAAAGGUCAGCCGAUACUGCGGGGCUAGAGUGCAGAAGGGGCAACUGGAAUUCCCGGUGUAGCGGUGAAAUGCGUAGAUAUCGAGAGGAACACCUGCGGCGAAGGCGGGUUGCUGGGCUGACACUGACGCUGAUGUGCGAAAGCUAGGGGAGCGAACGGG